RNAcentral lists this ribosomal RNA (254 nucleotides) under uncultured bacterium. Its description in RNAcentral is "partial 16S ribosomal RNA". It matches the Rfam family "Bacterial small subunit ribosomal RNA", at positions 524 to 776 of the family's 1533-position model. The record is from RNAcentral.
UACGGGGGGGGGCAAGCGUUGUUCGGAAUUACUGGGCGUAAAGGGCGCGUAGGCGGCCUGCUAAGUCACACGUGAAAUCCCUCGGCUUAACCGGGGAACUGCGUCUGAUACUGGAUGGCUUGAGUUUGGGAGAGGGACGCGGAAUUCCAGGUGUAGCGGUGAAAUGCGUAGAUAUCUGGAGGAACACCGGUGGCGAAGGCGGCGUCCUGGACCAACACUGACACUGAUGAGCGAAAGCCAGGGGAGCAAACGGG